UGAGGAAUAUUGGGCAAUGCCCGAAAGGGUGACCCAGCAACGCCGCGUGGAGGAUGAAGGUCGUAAGAUUGUAAACUCCUGUUAGAGGGGAAGAAUAACUAAGUUUGGAGCUUAGUAUGACUGUACCCUCAGAGAAAGCCCCGGCUAACUACGUGCCAGCAGCCGCGGUAAUACGUAGGGGGCAAGCGUUGUCCGGAUUUACUGGGUGUAAAGGGCGCGCAGGCGGAAUGGAAAGUCAGUGGUGAAAUCCUACAGCUUAACUGUAGAACUGCCUUUGAUACUUUCAUUCUUGAGUUCGGGAGAGAGAGACGGAAUUCCAGGUGUAGUGGUGAAAUACGUAGAUAUCUGGAAGAACACCAGUUGCGAAGGCGGUCUCUUGGUCCGAUACUGACGCUGAGGCGCGAAAGCGUGGGAGGCAACAAGGAGUUAUAGACCUACGUAG
RNAcentral lists this ribosomal RNA (442 nucleotides) under uncultured bacterium. RNAcentral's name for it is "bacterial SSU rRNA". It matches the Rfam family "Bacterial small subunit ribosomal RNA", at positions 355 to 793 of the family's 1533-position model. The record is from RNAcentral.